Sorex fumeus (smoky shrew) is the source of this 106-nucleotide small nuclear RNA. NCBI's taxonomy places the organism in Eukaryota, Metazoa, Chordata, Mammalia, Eulipotyphla, Soricidae. The record is from RefSeq and is a predicted model, not a curated record.
GUGCUCACUUGGGUAGCACAUAUACUAAAGUUAGAAUGAUACAGAGUAGAUUACAUGGCCCCUGCAUAUGAACAAUAUGCACAUUUGUGAACCAUUUCAUAUUUUU